GACGGAGGAUGCAAGCGUUAUCCGGAAUCACUGGGCGUAAAGCGUCUGUAGGUGGUGAUGAAAGUCACUGGUGCAAAACUCUGGCUCAACCGGAGGAAAGCCAGUGAAACUGCAUGACUAGAGUGUGGGAGAGGUAGAAGGAAUUCCUUGAGUAGCGGUGAAAUGCGUAGAUACAGGGAAGAACACCGGAGGCGAAAGCGUUCUACUGGAACACAACUGACACUGAGAGAAGAAAGCUAGGGGAGCGAAUGGG
RNAcentral lists this ribosomal RNA (253 nucleotides) under uncultured bacterium. Its description in RNAcentral is "partial 16S ribosomal RNA". It matches the Rfam family "Bacterial small subunit ribosomal RNA", at positions 524 to 776 of the family's 1533-position model. The record is from RNAcentral.